Molecule: microRNA precursor, 145 nt
Filed under: Chlorocebus sabaeus (green monkey)
Lineage: Eukaryota; Metazoa; Chordata; Mammalia; Primates; Cercopithecidae
Description: miRNA (ENSCSAG00000022620.1)
Source: RNAcentral
CCUCAGCCCUCCAGUUCUGAGUCUUAGCUUCCUCCCUCUGCUCCUUCUGAAGUAUCUUUUAUGUUCUUAUAGCAGCAGCAGCAGCAGCAACAGCAGCAGCAGCAGCAGCAACAGCAACAGCAACAGCAGCAGCAGCAACAGCAAC